UACGUAGGGCGCGAGCGUUAUCCGGAAUUAUUGGGCGUAAAGAGCUCGUAGGCGGUUUGUCACGUCUGCUGUGAAAGCCCGGGGCUCAAACCCGGGUGUGCAGUGGGUACGGGCAGACUAGAGUGCAGUGGGGGAGACUGGAAUUCCUGGUGUAGCGGUGAAAUGCGCAGAUAUCAGGAGGAACACCGAUGGCGAAGGCAGGUCUCUGGGCUGUUACUGACGCUGAGGAGCGAAAGCGUGGGGAGCAAACAGG
This 253-nucleotide unclassified non-coding RNA is filed under the name uncultured Micrococcaceae bacterium. RNAcentral describes it as "contains 16S-23S intergenic spacer region". It matches the Rfam family "Bacterial small subunit ribosomal RNA", at positions 524 to 776 of the family's 1533-position model. The record is from RNAcentral. Lineage: Bacteria; Bacillati; Actinomycetota; Actinomycetes; Micrococcales; Micrococcaceae.